AGAGCUUGAAAAGGAGCUUGCAGAGCUGGAGAGGUGUGGUGAGGAGCUGGAAGAUGAGAUUGAGAUGAAGAGAGAAGCGUAUGUGGAGGAGAUCUUUGAGCUGGAGUGUCGUCUUGAGGAGAUGCGGAGGCAGCAGCAUGAACUGCAGGUCCAGAUGAGGGAACAAUGUGAUGACUACGAGGAGCUGCUGGGUCAGAAGAUGGCCCGGGAAAUCGAGAUCGCUGCCUACAGAGGUUUGGUGGAAGAGGAGGAUGAGAGGCUUUGCUACCUGUGAGAGGAACCGAUGCAGACCAGACCAACCAACCUGCUUUCGGCGAUGGAUAUCCUCCCAUACAGAUUUCAUGCGUUGCCAAAACGCAACAGACCUAAGUCGGCCAUUAGAGAUCACAUGAAGCUAACCGCCACACAACCAUUUGAGCAGAUGUAAAAGUAUCAUGACAGAUUAACGAGGUCUGGAGGGCGUGCCAGGGCCAUUGAUAACAGGUCACUGGCAGGUGACCCCUGUCCUAUAAGAAAGAUGAAGUUGUCUAACAUUGGGGUGGAGGGGGAUGGGACUGGAUAGAGUGUGUAUUCAGUGUCUGUGAAAUUUCCCUAAGUGGUCUCUAUCUGUUGUGGCUACAGUCUCUGGAGCUAACUCACUGAUAUGACACACACACACACACAGAAUCAUUUACCUCCCGUUAACCCUCACUCCAGCAUGAGCCCAUUAAACGCUCUUAACCACUGACCUCUCCACUGUUCACAGCCAUUGGACAGCUCUUAUAUCCAAUAAGAUGGCCUUAACCGAUCAUGGCAGGUCACCAUUCAUUUGUUUUACAGUCAUGCAUUAAUGUGGGUUUUUACACAGAAAUGACAGUCAAGUCAGUUACACUGUUCAUGUAUACUUGCGAACUGGUAUAUUAGCUUUGCAAAUGGUUGUUGAAGUUGACAUUCUGCAGCUCCCAUACAGCUGGCCAGCAGAUAGCUUGUGUGCUGUUCCUGACUUAUUUGCUCAUUCUCUGCCCAUGACACCUGGAGGAACUUAGUCAAGUUAAAACCAGAACAAUAAAAAACAUUUU
Molecule: long non-coding RNA, 1058 nt
Organism: Oncorhynchus kisutch (coho salmon)
Lineage: Eukaryota; Metazoa; Chordata; Actinopteri; Salmoniformes; Salmonidae
Exons: 3
Source: RefSeq, a predicted model, not a curated record